Molecule: ribosomal RNA, 303 nt
Filed under: uncultured bacterium
Lineage: Bacteria
Description: bacterial SSU rRNA
Rfam family: Bacterial small subunit ribosomal RNA
Source: RNAcentral
GGAUUAGAUACCCUGGUAGUCCUAGCCGUAAACGAUGAGCACUAGGUAGGGGGGACUCUUAUGGUCUUCUCUACCGUAGCAAAUGUGUUAAGUGCUCCGCCUGGGGAGUACGCUCGCAAGGGUAAAACUCAAAGGAAUUGACGGGGGCUCACACAAGCGGUGGAGCAUGUGGUUUAAUUCGAAACAACGCGAAGAACCUUACCUGGCCUUGACAUGUACGGAUUAACCUUGUGAAAGCAGGGGGACAGCCCUUCGGGGUCGGAACGUACACAGGUGUUGCAUGGCUGUCGUCAGCUCGUGUCG